GCUCAGGACGAACGCUGGCGGCGUGCUUAACACAUGCAAGUCGAACGAUGAACCACUUCGGUGGGGAUUAGUGGCGAACGGGUGAGUAACACGUGGGCAAUCUGCCCUGCACUCUGGGACAAGCCCUGGAAACGGGGUCUAAUACCGGAUACUGAUCCUCGCAGGCAUCUGCGAGGUUCGAAAGCUCCGGCGGUGCAGGAUGAGCCCGCGGCCUAUCAGCUAGUUGGUGAGGUAACGGCUCACCAAGGCGACGACGGGUAGCCGGCCUGAGAGGGCGACCGGCCACACUGGGACUGAGACACGGCCCAGACUCCUACGGGAGGCAGCAGUGGGGAAUAUUGCACAAUGGGCGAAAGCCUGAUGCAGCGACGCCGCGUGAGGGAUGACGGCCUUCGGGUUGUAAACCUCUUUCAGCAGGGAAGAAGCGAAAGUGACGGUACCUGCAGAAGAAGCGCCGGCUAACUACGUGCCAGCAGCCGCGGUAAUACGUAGGGCGCAAGCGUUGUCCGGAAUUAUUGGGCGUAAAGAGCUCGUAGGCGGCUUGUCACGUCGGUUGUGAAAGCCCGGGGCUUAACCCCGGGUCUGCAGUCGAUACGGGCAGGCUAGAGUUCGGUAGGGGAGAUCGGAAUUCCUGGUGUAGCGGUGAAAUGCGCAGAUAUCAGGAGGAACACCGGUGGCGAAGGCGGAUCUCUGGGCCGAUACUGACGCUGAGGAGCGAAAGCGUGGGGAGCGAACAGGAUUAGAUACCCUGGUAGUCCACGCCGUAAACGGUGGGCACUAGGUGUGGGCAACAUUCCACGUUGUCCGUGCCGCAGCUAACGCAUUAA
RNAcentral lists this ribosomal RNA (827 nucleotides) under Streptomyces enissocaesilis. Its description in RNAcentral is "bacterial SSU rRNA". It matches the Rfam family "Bacterial small subunit ribosomal RNA", at positions 22 to 863 of the family's 1533-position model. Lineage: Bacteria; Bacillati; Actinomycetota; Actinomycetes; Kitasatosporales; Streptomycetaceae. The record is from RNAcentral.